Molecule: ribosomal RNA, 492 nt
Filed under: uncultured bacterium
Lineage: Bacteria
Description: partial 16S ribosomal RNA
Rfam family: Bacterial small subunit ribosomal RNA
Source: RNAcentral
AGUGAACGCUGGCGGUAGGCCUAACACAUGCAAGUCGAACGGCAGGACAGUAAGAGCUUGCUCUUACGGGUGGCGAGUGGCGGACGGGUGAGGAAUACAUCGGAAUCUACUUUUUCGUGGGGGAUAACGUAGGGAAACUUACGCUAAUACCGCAUACGACCUACGGGUGAAAACAGGGGAUCUUCGGACCUUGCGCGAUUGAAUGAGCCGAUGUCGGAUUAGCUAGUUGGCGGGGUAAAGGCCCACCAAGGCGACGAUCCGUAGCUGGUCUGAGAGGAUGAUCAGCCACACUGGAACUGAGACACGGUCCAGACUCCUACGGGAGGCAGCAGUGGGGAAUAUUGGACAAUGGGCGCAAGCCUGAUCCAGCCAUACCGCGUGGGUGAAGAAGGCCUUCGGGUUGUGAAGCCCUUUUGUUGGGAAAGAAAAGCAGCAGGUUAAUACCCCGCUGUUCUGACGGUACCCAAAGAAUAAGCACCGGCUAACUUCGUG